CUAGCGGCAGACGGGUGAGUAACAUGUGGGAAUCUGCCUUUUGGUUCGGAACAACACGGGGAAACCUGUGCUAAUACCGGAUGGUUCCUUCGGGAUAAAGAUUUAUCGCCAAAAGAUGAGUCCGCGUACGAUUAGCUAGUUGGUGAGGUAAUGGCUCACCAAGGCGACGAUCGUUAGCUGGUCUGAGAGGACGAUCAGCCACACUGGGACUGAGACACGGCCCAGACUCC
Molecule: ribosomal RNA, 230 nt
Filed under: uncultured bacterium
Lineage: Bacteria
Description: partial 16S ribosomal RNA
Rfam family: Bacterial small subunit ribosomal RNA
Source: RNAcentral